GAUCAUGGCUCAGGAUGAACGCUAGCUACAGGCUUAACACAUGCAAGUCGAGGGGCAGCAUGGUCUUAGCUUGCUAAGGCCGAUGGCGACCGGCGCACGGGUGAGUAACACGUAUCCAACCUGCCGUCUACUCUUGGACAGCCUUCUGAAAGGAAGAUUAAUACAAGAUGGCAUCAUGAGUCCGCAUGUUCACAUGAUUAAAGGUUUACCGGUGUAAGAUGGGGA
Molecule: ribosomal RNA, 225 nt
Filed under: uncultured bacterium
Lineage: Bacteria
Description: partial 16S ribosomal RNA
Rfam family: Bacterial small subunit ribosomal RNA
Source: RNAcentral